AGAGUUUGAUCCUGGCGUCAGGAUAAAACGCUGGCGGCGCACAUAAGACAUGCAAGUCGAACGGACUUAACCCGUAAUGUUUUACAUUUGGGAGCGGUUAGUGGCGGACUGGUGAGUAACACGUAAGCAACCUGCCUAUUAGAGGGGAAUAACAGUGAGAAAUCAUUGCUAAUACCGCAUAUGCCAUAGGAACCACAUGGUUCUAGUGGGAAAGGAGAAAUCCGCUAAUAGAUGGGCUUGCGUCUGAUUAGAUAGUUGGUGGGGUAAUGGCCUACCAAGUCAACGAUCAGUAGCCGGACUGAGAGGUUGAACGGCCACAUUGGGACUGAGAUACGGCCCAGACUCCUACGGGAGGCAGCAGUCGGGAAUAUUGCACAAUGGAGGAAACUCUGAUGCAGUGACGCCGCGUGCAGGAAGAAGGUUUUCGGAUUGUAAACUGCUUUAGACAGGGAAGAAACAAGACAGUACCUGUAGAAUAAGCCCCGGCUAACUACGUG
Molecule: ribosomal RNA, 497 nt
Filed under: uncultured Eubacteriales bacterium
Lineage: Bacteria; Bacillati; Bacillota; Clostridia; Eubacteriales
Description: bacterial SSU rRNA
Rfam family: Bacterial small subunit ribosomal RNA
Source: RNAcentral